GAUGAAGAACGUAGCAAAAUGCGAUAAGUAAUGUGAAUUGCAGAAUUCAGUGAAUCAUCGAAUCUUUGAACGCACAUUGCGCCCGCUGGUAUUCCGGCGGGCAUGCCUGUUCGAGCGUCAUUUCAACCCUCAAGCCCCCGGGUUUGGUGUUGGGGAUCGGCUCUGCCCUUCUGGGCGGUGCCGCCCCCGAAAUACAUUGGCGGUCUCGCUGCAGCCUCCAUUGCGUAGUAGCUAACACCUCGCAACUGGAACGCGGCGCGGCCAUGCCGUAAAACCCCAACUUCUGAAUGUUGACCUCGGAUCAGGUAGGAAUACCCGCUGAACUUAAGCAUAUCAAUAAAGGA
Molecule: unclassified non-coding RNA, 344 nt
Filed under: soil metagenome
Description: partial contains 5.8S ribosomal RNA, internal transcribed spacer 2, and large subunit ribosomal RNA
Rfam family: 5.8S ribosomal RNA (bases 1-120)
Source: RNAcentral